RNAcentral lists this long non-coding RNA (549 nucleotides) under Nothobranchius furzeri (turquoise killifish). RNAcentral describes it as "lncRNA (ENSNFUG00015016520.1)". Lineage: Eukaryota; Metazoa; Chordata; Actinopteri; Cyprinodontiformes; Nothobranchiidae. The record is from RNAcentral.
AUGAACGUGAAGUGGACAGUGAAACGAUUUGUUCUUAUGUCGUUAUCAGUCUCCCACCUGCUGUUACUUGAGGGAGCUCAGAGUCGACUUUCAGUGGCAGAAGGAAGAUCACAGAGAAGAGCUAAUGCACUUCGGAGGAAACGGGAUCUCCUUGGGGAGGAGACAUAUAGACCGUUGUUGUCAGAGGGCACUCUGUCACGCAGCAUUUUGCACAACUACACAGCCAGAGAUUCCUCUUCAGAAUAUUGUGGCUGCCUUAAUGGUGGAUGGUGUCAGGAGGGCGGUGUGUGUGACUGUGUUCAGUUCCAGGCACUGGGAGAUCGCUGCCAAAUCAGUGAGUAUUGCUCUCACACUUGUAGUCUCCUACUUUCAUAUCUUCCCUUUGUGUCAGCUCAGAAUUCAUCACAUUUAUGCAAGCAGCAACCUCCGAGGCUGCCUGGCAUGUCUAAUAACAGUCACCUCUUUGAUAACAGAAUCAGACGCUCCAUUUUACAUGAACAAGCGCACGCAGGAGACUCUCCAGUCGGUCAACAAAUUCUAAUUGCCUGA